This 237-nucleotide non-coding RNA is filed under the name Bacillus sp. (in: firmicutes). RNAcentral's name for it is "Bacillus sp. T-box sequence". It matches the Rfam family "T-box leader". From Rfam's summary of the family: Uncharged tRNA acts as the effector for transcription antitermination of genes in the T-box leader family. The record is from RNAcentral. Lineage: Bacteria; Bacillati; Bacillota; Bacilli; Caryophanales; Bacillaceae.
AAACAACCAAUGAUGAAGAAAAGUAAUUAAGAAUCACAUGUAAAGAGAAGAAAUGCCUUAGGCUGAAAGCAUUUCUACAUGAUGCCUUAAUGAAAGAACACUUCUGAGGCUUCGCUCUGAAAAAAAUUUUAGUAAGAGAUGAACGUAGGCAGGCGUUAACUGCUUGUAAAGUGGAAGCAUAUGCAUAUAUGCUUCAAUUAGGGUGGCACCACGGGAAUUCCAACUCUCGUCCCUUGU